GGGGAAUAUUGCACAAUGGGCGAAAGCCUGAUGCAGCGACGCCGCGUGAGCGAAGAAGUAUUUCGGUAUGUAAAGCUCUAUCAGCAGGGAAGAAAAUGACGGUACCUGACUAAGAAGCCCCGGCUAACUACGUGCCAGCAGCCGCGGUAAUACGUAGGGGGCAAGCGUUAUCCGGAUUUACUGGGUGUAAAGGGAGCGUAGGCGGCAAGGCAAGUCUGAUGUGAAAACCCGGGGCUCAACCCCGGGACUGCAUUGGAAACUGCGUAGCUAGAGUGUCGGAGAGGUAAGUGGAAUUCCUAGUGUAGCGGUGAAAUGCGUAGAUAUUAGGAGGAACACCAGUGGCGAAGGCGACUUACUGGACGAUAACUGACGCUGAGGCUCGAAAGCGUGGGGAGCAAAC
This 400-nucleotide ribosomal RNA is filed under the name uncultured bacterium. RNAcentral's name for it is "bacterial SSU rRNA". It matches the Rfam family "Bacterial small subunit ribosomal RNA", at positions 356 to 773 of the family's 1533-position model. The record is from RNAcentral.